AUGUCGAUAGAAACAGAGAUAGACAGAGGUGGUCAGAUUCAAGCUGUGACACAGGAGCCAAAACUGUUUAUCAUCUCUGUGAAGGCGCUCAAAGGACGACUGAGUAGACUUCCUGCUGCUGGUGUGGGUGACAUGGUGACGGCCACAGUGAAGAAACACAACCCGGAGCUCAGAAAGAAGGUACAUCCAGCAGUAGUAAUUCCACAACGAAAAUCAUACUGGAGAAAAGAUGAAUUAGUAGAAGCAGAGGGGGCGGCCGGACCGAGCGAGCGCCCGCGCGUGUGGCCUGAGGGGAAGCCGCUGCCCGCCCCCUUCGCCUUCCCUUCUCUCCCCCUCCCCGCUCUGCCCCCUCCCCCGCCCCGACCGCGGAGCAGCACCUUGUCGGCGCUGGCGGCCAAAGUCAGUAAAAAGGAGCUCAACUCCAACCACGACGGGGCCGACGAGACCUCAGAAAAAGAACAGCAAGAAGCAAUUGAACAUAUUGAUGAAGUACAAAAUGAAAUAGACAGACUUAACAAACAAGCCAGUGAGGAGAUUUUGAAAGUAGAACAGAAAUAGAACAAACUCCGCCAACCAUUUUUUCAGAAGAGGUCGGAAUUGAUCGCCAAAAUCCCCAAUUUUUGGGUAACAACAUUUGUCAACCAUCCACAAGUGUCUGCACUGCUUGGGGAGGAGGAUGAAGAGGCGCUGCAUUAUUUGACAAGAGUUGAAGUGACAGAAUUUGAAGAUAUUAAAUCAGGUUACAGAAUAGAUUUUUAUUUUGAUGAAAACCCUUACUUCGAAAAUAAAGUUCUCUCCAAAGAAUUUCAUCUGAAUGAGAGUGGUGAUCCAUCUUCAAAGUCCACCGAAAUCAAAUGGAAAUCUGGAAAGGAUUUGACGAAACGUUCAAGUCAAACACAGAAUAAAGCCAGCAGGAAGAGACAGCAUGAGGAACCAGAGAGCUUCUUCACCUGGUUUACUGACCAUUCUGAUGCAGGUGCAGAUGAGUUAGGAGAGGUCAUCAAAGAUGAUAUGUGGCCAAAUCCAUUACAGUACUACUUGGUUCCCGAUAUGGAUGAUGAAGAAGGGGAAGGAGAAGAAGAUGAUGAUGAUGAUGAAGAAGAAGAAGGAUUGGAAGACAUUGAUGAAGAAGGAGAUGAGGAUGAAGGUGAAGAAGAUGAAGAUGAUGAUGAGGGGGAGGAAGGAGAGGAGGAUGAAGGAGAAGAUGACUAAUGGAACACUGAUGGAUUCCAACCUUCCUUUUUUAAUUUUCUUCAGUCCCUGGGAGCAAGUUGCCGUCUUUUUUUUUUUCCUCCUCUUGUGCUCAUUUGCCCUGUUUUUUGAAGUCUCUUUUCUCUCCCUUUAUACCAUGGUUCUCAACUUAUUUUGGGGGGAAAUACCUUGAGCAGAAUACAGUGGGAAAAGAAUCUCUACCCCUUUCUGUUCCAAAUUCAUUUUUAUCCCUUCCUGUCUCAACAAAAACUUUAUGGAAUCAACACCACCGUGCUCUGUGGGAAAAAGAAAAACCUUCUGCUCCCUUAGCUCUGCUGGAAGCUGGAGGGUGCUAGGCCCCUGUGUAGUAGUGCAUAGAAUUCUAGCUUUUUUCCUCCUUUCUCUGUAUAUUGGGCUCAGAGAUUACACUGUGUCUCUAUGUGAAUAUGGACAGUUAGCAUUUACCAACAUGUACCUGUCUACUUUCUCUUGUUUAAAAAAAAGAAAAAAAACUUUAAAAAAUGGGGUUAUAGAAGGACAGCAAAGGGUGGGUUUGAGAUGUUUGGGUGGGUUAAGUGGGCAUUUUGACAACAUGGCUUCUCCUUUGGCAUGUUUAAUUGUGAUGUUUAACGGACAUCCUUGCAGUUUAAGAUGACACUUUUAAAAUAAAACUCUCUCCUAAUGAUGACUUGAGCCCUGUGACUCGAUGGGAGAAUCAGCAGAACCUAUAGGAUCUUAUUUGGAAUUGACAUUCUCUAUUGUAAUUUUGUUCCUGUUUAUUUUUAAAUUUUCU
Molecule: non-coding RNA, 1984 nt
Organism: Callorhinus ursinus (northern fur seal)
Lineage: Eukaryota; Metazoa; Chordata; Mammalia; Carnivora; Otariidae
Source: RefSeq, a predicted model, not a curated record